AAUAACAUGGAACUAACUUCAAUUAUGUUCUUGACUGAACUGUUCCAAACACUCCGCAUUUGUAUCAAAAUAACCAAGAGUAACGAAUGUGUGUAGAGAGCUUUUCAGAUAUGUCGCUCGAAGCAUCAUUUAUUAUAAUUAUACGUUGACUGAAUUAAAUAUAUUCGUAUGAUGUGUGUGUCUGUAUUCUUACAUUCAGGUCGACUUCUGGAUUUUAUAACCGUCGUUGUGUUCAAUAAAAUUAAGGUACUUCCGCGAGCCAAAAUUAUGUACAAGAAAAGCUUCAUAUAUUCACCACUGUACUCAACUGGUUACACAACCAUUCAGUGUAUUAACUAUACAAGGCACAUCUAACACACACAUCCACUCUCAAUGUCAGAAAAGAAUGAUGUUGACUUGAGUGUUAUUUCUAUACUUGAGCAAACACGAUAGGUAUCAUGUUGAAUUUAAAACGAAAAUCUUAAGACUUCAGAUUUGUUUCAAAACACAAUGGUUAACGAUAUGUUGAAAUGUUUUAUCAGAUAAUAAGUCAAAUAAUUUUAAAUUUGGGCAAUGACAGGGAAAUUUCAAUUAUAAAUUAUUUUUGUUUUCCAACAAUGUGUUGUUUACAUUAAAUUGGAAGCAAAAUAUUAAAGGAAAAACUUUUGAUUUUCUGUUGUUGUCACGAAAAGAAAGAGAGUGAAAAAAAAUGAACUAAAUUAAAUUAUUAUAGCGAUAAAGCGACCUAUAGCGCAAAUGUGUAUAUACACUCAGCUGCCUAUAAAAUUAUGCGUCGGAAAGGUUGAUACUGUGGAAAAGUAAACAUUUUAAAAUUAAAUCUCACGACCUAAUCAACACAGAGAAUGUUUACUAAACAAAAAUCGCGGGCGACGUUCAUGCCUAAUUUUCCGAGUCAAGUUUUUGAUGCGAAACUUUUUGUCACCAUACCAAACCAUUUCGGAUAAAUAUAAAGAGUGGUUGGUGGGUCAGUGGUGAAGAGAAAUUUUUGGGCUUUCAUUUAAAAUAAUAUCAAAACACUCCCCGUAUGAAUGGUAUUAUAGUAAUUUAUUGUCAAUAAAUCGCUUUAUCAGUAAUAUAAAGAGCAACAUUUUUUGUAGUCAGCAAUCAAAAUUUGAGCCAGACAACGACCGAUUUCAUUUCACAAAAAAAAAACAAAUUCCUUUUGUACAUUGG
Molecule: long non-coding RNA, 1173 nt
Organism: Bradysia coprophila
Lineage: Eukaryota; Metazoa; Arthropoda; Insecta; Diptera; Sciaridae
Source: RefSeq, a predicted model, not a curated record